RNAcentral lists this unclassified non-coding RNA (651 nucleotides) under Hevea brasiliensis (rubber tree). The record is from RNAcentral. Lineage: Eukaryota; Viridiplantae; Streptophyta; Magnoliopsida; Malpighiales; Euphorbiaceae.
CUGAAGUGAGAAAAGCUGGAAAUUGCUUACUACUAAAAUAUUCAAUUGCAAGAGUCAAAGGGAGAUGGUUUGUGUCUAAUGUGUUAAGAAAGUGAAACAGUUGUGAAUUACACUGUGGGACGAGCAGGGGCAAUCUUUUAUAUAAGAUUUAAUGUAACAAGUCUUUGCCUACUACAUAGGAUAAGCAGUCUUCUCAUUUAUUAAUUGGAAUUUCCUUCACAUGACAAAUCCACAUUCUCUGACUUAAAUUGGCAAGGAAAACCAUGUUCCCUGGAUCUUGUUAAUGUUUAACUCUACACGAUGAGGACCUAUCGCAUUAACAUAUUAUCUGAUAUACAUGCAUUAUGCAUCUGGAAAAAAUGCAGACCAUCAUUCUGUACAUGUCCUGGACAAAAUCAAUUGAUGCUUUUUAUAUCAUCUCUUGCUUGCUUAGUUAAUAGAAUAUGCUGGAUGUAAGAUGCAAAACAUAUAUACUAAGCUUCAACAGAAAAAUUGUCCAUCUUGUUAAAAUAUAUUGGCUUUCGGGACUUGGAUAAGAUGGUUAAAACUUAAUUUGGACUCACGGCUUCUGUAGUUUUCAAGCUAUAUUAUUUUUGCAGUUUUAUAAGUGCUUAUAUAUUUGGUUGGAGCUCAUGGGGCUUCUUAAUGCGC